GUACUUUCAAUAAGGAAGAAGUAAUAAAAUAUAAUAUAUUUUAUUAUUGACGUUACUUAUAAAAGAAGCACCGGCUAACUCCGUGCCAGCAGCCGCGGUAAUACGGAGGGUGCUAGCGUUAAUCGGAAUUACUGGGCGUAAAGAGCACGUAGGCGGUUUAUUAAGUCAGAUGUGAAAUCCCUAAGCUUAACUUAGGAACUGCAUUUGAAACUAAUUUACUUGAGUAUCAUAGAGGGGAGUAGAAUUCCAGGUGUAGCGGUGAAAUGCGUAGAUAUCUGGAGGAAUACCAGUGGCGAAGGCGACUCCCUGGAUGAAUGCUGACGCUCAGGUGCGAAAGCAUGGGUAGCAAACAGGAUUAGAUACCCUGGUAGUCCAUGCUGUAAACGAUGUCGACUUGGAGGUUGUAAGCUUGUCUUGUAGCUUCCGUAGCUAACGCGUUAAGUCGACCGCCUGGGGAGUACGACCGCAAGGUUAAAACUCAAAUGAAUUGACGGGGGCCCGCACAAGCGGUGGAGCAUGUGGUUUAAUUCGAUGCAACGCGAAAAACCUUACCUGGUCUUGACAUCCAUGGAAUUUAAUAGAGAUAUUUUAGUGCCUUCGGGAACCAUGAGACAGGUGCUGCAUGGCUGUCGUCAGCUCGUGUUGUGAAAUGUUGGGUUAAGUCCCGCAACGAGCGCAACCCUUGUCCUUUGUUGCCAACGGUUCGGCCGGGAACUCAAAGGAGACUGCUGGUGAUAAGCCGGAGGAAGGUGGGGAUGACGUCAAGUCAUCAUGGCCCUUACGACCAGGGCUACACACGUGCUACAAUGGUAUAUACAAAGGGAAGCAUCCUCGCAAGAGUAAGCGGAUCUCAUAAAAUAUAUCUUAGUUCGGAUUGGAGUCUGCAACUCGACUCUAUGAAGUCGGAAUCGCUAGUAAUCGUAGAUCAGAAUGCUACGGUGAAUACGUUCCCGGGCCUUGUACACACCGCCCGUCACACCAUGGGAGUGGGUUGUAAAAGAAGUAGGUUGCUUAACCUUACGGAGAGCGCUUACCACUUUGUGAUUCAUAACUGGGGU
RNAcentral lists this ribosomal RNA (1058 nucleotides) under bacterium endosymbiont of Neohaemonia nigricornis. Its description in RNAcentral is "bacterial SSU rRNA". It matches the Rfam family "Bacterial small subunit ribosomal RNA", at positions 430 to 1481 of the family's 1533-position model. The record is from RNAcentral.